Molecule: long non-coding RNA, 3319 nt
Organism: Neogale vison (American mink)
Lineage: Eukaryota; Metazoa; Chordata; Mammalia; Carnivora; Mustelidae
Exons: 5
Source: RefSeq, a predicted model, not a curated record
GGACCUUUGACCCAAGCCCCGUUCGUUUUCAAAGAAGGAGGGCACUUACCCGAAAUUUGCAUUCGCGUGGCGGUGCAGGGCCCUUCCCUUUAAGCGAAGCUCCACCCGAAAUUGCCAGGUGAAUUUGGUAGAUUUGGGACCCUAAGUUGGAAACCGAGAUAUGAAAGUGUGCUCCAAUCAAUCUUUACUUUUCACAGAGGACACCUAUUUGGGGUAAGAAAAGCAGGGCGAAUUAAUGAAGAGUUGGCUCUGGGGGAAGGGCUGGAGGACAAAAGAGGAAGAAGGUUAGAUGGACAUUCCGUUUCCACUCGAAAUGUCCCAUCGUGGGGUACAAUUUGUGUCGCUUAUUGGAGUAUGAGGUUGAUGGUGCGUGCCAAACAUGAUCUCAACGUGAAAAAGACGACAGGUACGUUACAAGAAAUUCACAGACCCUUGAACCCCGUCAACGAAUCCCCAGUUAAUCAUUUCUACUUGUAGAGAAGAGAAAAUGCAACAACCCCGAGGAAGACAAUUUCAAAGAAAGGAGAAGAAAAAUAUGACUCCUUAAGAGGGCCAUACGGGAUUGGACUUGGAGGAAGUGUCCAAUAUUUCCAGUCCAGGACUGCUUUCAUUGAGUGAGAAGUUGCCAGUUCAGCUCAUGAAAGCAUCUUUUCUGCCAGCCCCUGAGGGUGCCAGUGGUCCAUGACCUGCAAACCGUAGACUUGCUUCCAUGGUGCCGCCCUUUGGAACCCCAGCCCAGGACUUAGCGGAGGAGCUCAGCAGCUUCCAACCCUGGUUGUAAAUUCCAGCCACGCAUGCCCUGACUUACUCAUCUCCACAUGCCUCCUGACUACAGCAUCGUGCCCUGGGAGGAGCGGAAUAAAAUGUCUGCAAAAGGAAUUUCAUAGAAACAUGACCGAGAAUGUACAGCCUCUUUCAGUUCUGAUCAUGAAUCGUCGGGGGUAGCAAAAGACCUUUCUGUAGCUGGGAGAGUUUUGAAAAUCUGUUCUCAAGUUCUUAGAGCAGGGGACGCAUCAUCUUCUGAAAAAGGAUUUAAAGGAAAGGAGACGGUGGGUUUUGAUGGAGUCGUCUGGGGAUAUACACAUGACGGAAAGGCAAGAGUUGAUGUGGUAAAGCCAGAAGUCCCUGUGUUGCUUCAUCCUUAGCUGUCCCCUUUCCCUGUUAUCCCUCAAGUUUCCAGUCUAAGCUAAUCUUUUGGGGGGAAUCUUUUUAGCCUUGUUAAUCAGGAGAGAGGAAACGUGAAGCAGAGAGAGAAAUUUACAGGAAGAGAUGUGACAUUCUGAAAAAUGUGUGUGUGCUUUGAAAUAUAUUCAAAUACGGAUAUUCAAAUACGGAUUUGCCUUUUCUGACUGGGAGUAUCUAGGUUGUGUUGAAGGAAGAUUAAGAGUGUCAGAGCAGGGAUGCAAAGAGAAAGAUUCAACGUCCAGCCUUUGACAUCUAGAAGAGGACUUCUGGGUCUGCAGAAAAGCAUUUGUUUGAAAGUCAAGCUUUGUGGCGAGAGAAUUUCUUUAGCACCUGUCAAGAGCUGUCCUGUGGACCAGAUCAUAAAAAAAAAAGGCAGGGAUAAAGAGAAGUAAGUGUAUGACAGAGGGUAGGUGGCAUGUGUGAAUGAGGAGAGAAAAUGAGGGAACGUAGUCAGGAAGACCCAGGUGUCCUAACCACCCCUCUUGGGCCAAUGUCCAAAGUCAAGGUCAGUUGGUAGAGGCAACAGCAAAGGGCUUUGUGCCCUGAACCUCUGGAUCCCUGGGGGGUUGGUAACAUCCACUGGUUGGCACAUGGACCAUGGCACAUUCCUGAAGGAGAAGUUGUCAUGACAGAUGGGCCCAGUGUAGCCCCCAGAUCUCCACAGCCCACAGGAAGUUUAUGGAGAGCCAGAGAUCUCCAAGAGGCCCACUGAAGAAAUUCAGAGAUUUGGGGAGAACUACCCGAGCUUGAGAGUAAGGACAAAUGGCCAGCACUCUGGAACCUGGUGGCAGAUGACAGAAUGCUGUCCCCAGGGGGCAGGUCAAUGAGCCUGUUGAGCCUCCAGAGUUACCAGUGUAGGGCACAGAGCAGAGCUUCACUGUGAUUAAGGACUGGUCCCUAGAAGAAAAGUGAGAGACCAGCUAGAGGAGAAGAGCUGCCCUUGGCCAAGUCAUUCCCUCUUUGAAUUCAUAUGGGAUGUAUUAGUCCUUUGGGGUAAAUAGUACUUUUAUUCUGUGGCUGAAGAAGCUGUCGCUUCAGAAGUUGAGAGUCAUUUACCCAAAUGCAUCUACGAGCCAGCAGCCUCAGGGCACAAUUCAACCCUCAGCUCCAAUGGUUCAUCUAGGAGCUUACUAUCACUCUUGGCUCCGUGGAAGGUUCUUAUCUGUAUCCAGUUUCUACCCUGAGAUGUCUUGCUUUGUUGUGAAAGAGGCCCAGAAUUCUUCCAAGAUACAUACUCCCAAGAGAUAAAAUGCAAUGUGGCCUGGUACUGUGGUAAUGACUCAAUCACUGACCUUUUAAUAAAAAUGCUACUGUGUUCCUAAAUGGAAAACGCCACACAGGAUGAGACUGGCAUUUGGGGAAACCCCUGAUGAGUUGUCUCAGUUGAUUCUAUGACUCAUUUAUUUGGCGCUUCUUGGAUUUAUAGUUUAUACUCCAAACUAAAGAGGAAAUAGUUAAACAUAGUCGAAUGGAAUGUUCCCACGUCAUGCAUUUUCCAUUUUUCUCUCUGUUUUGCAUAUACUCAAUAGGUCUGUGAUAAAGACCUAUUUCAGUACCUAUAGUUUUCUCAUUAACUAAUCAGAGCAGAAAAGCCAUUGCUUCAUCAAGAUUUUGCCAUAUUUUACAGUUCAAGUGUUUCUUGGGAGUUAAAAAAUAUAUAUACAUUUGUCCCCAGACAUAACCAACAAAGGAAGGCAUGGCAAAGGAGUCAAUGCUUGGCCUGAAGAGGAAGUGCACAUGGUCUGACUGAGGCCAGGGAAGCUUAGAGAACCAGGUAGCUAUAGCCCACCAUAGGCCAGUUCACGGACCGCCUGCUCCCCAUCUCCUCUCUACCAGCAUUUCGCCAGCAAAUUUAACUGCAAAACACAUAAGCCCAGAAGUGGAGGGAGGUGUAUGUUGACUGUAACGAGUCUGAUUAAAUGCCACUUCUUUUAUUCUGUUGGGAGACAAAAUGGCUGCCGACUUCAUCUGUUUAAAUUGAACUUUAAAUGUCAUUGGUGUCCUAUGUAUUUUGCUUAAAAAUGAGGCUAAGGGUUACUGUGGGGAAUUAUUCCGAGGCUUACAUAAGUCAGACGUAGGGGUUCUGGAAUAUCUUGACCCCUAUUAAAAGAUAAUAAACUUGACAUAAAUAAUU